UACCCGCAGCACAAGUGGUGGUCAUUAUUAUUGGGCCUAAAGCGUCCGUAGCUGGCUUGUUAGAUGCCUGGGUAAAUCGAUGCGCUCAACGCAUCGAACUCCGGGUAGACCGGCAAGCUUGGGACCGGGAGAGGCGUGAGCUACUCGAGGGGUAGGGGUAAAAUCCUGUAAUCCUUCGGGGAGGACCAGUGGCGAAGGCGUCACGCUAGAACGGCUCUGACAGUGAGGGACGAAGCCCUGGGGCGCAAACCGG
RNAcentral lists this ribosomal RNA (253 nucleotides) under uncultured bacterium. RNAcentral describes it as "partial 16S ribosomal RNA". It matches the Rfam family "Archaeal small subunit ribosomal RNA", at positions 474 to 727 of the family's 1478-position model. The record is from RNAcentral.